This 341-nucleotide ribosomal RNA is filed under the name Phallichthys tico. Its description in RNAcentral is "partial 12S ribosomal RNA". It matches the Rfam family "Bacterial small subunit ribosomal RNA", at positions 801 to 1359 of the family's 1533-position model. Lineage: Eukaryota; Metazoa; Chordata; Actinopteri; Cyprinodontiformes; Poeciliidae. The record is from RNAcentral.
AGAAAACCACGACCCCUAUCCGCCCGGGGACUACGAGCAUAAGCUUAAAACCCAAAGGACUUGGCGGUGCUUUAGACCCCCCUAGAGGAGCCUGUUCUAGAACCGAUAACCCCCGUUCAACCUCACCUUUUCUUGCCUAUCCCGCCUAUAUACCGCCGUCGUCAGCAUACCCUGUGAAGGAACCAUAGUAAGCAAAACUGGUAAAACCCCAAACGUCAGGUCGAGGUGUAGCACACGAAAAGGAAAGAAAUGGGCUACAUUUCCUACCUCAGGAAACACGAAUUGUGCUAUGAAACAACAUAUGAAGGAGGAUUUAGCAGUAAGUGGAAAACAGAGCGUUC